CAGCCGCCGCGGUAAUACGGAGGAUCCAAGCGUUAUCCGGAAUCAUUGGGUUUAAAGGGUCCGUAGGCGGUUUGGUAAGUCAGUGGUGAAAGCCCAUCGCUUAACGAUGGAACGGCCAUUGAUACUGCCAGACUUGAAUUACUAGGAAGUAACUAGAAUAUGUAGUGUAGCGGUGAAAUGCUUAGAUAUUACAUGGAAUACCAAUUGCGAAGGCAGGUUACUACUAGUGGAUUGACGCUGAUGGACGAAAGCGUGGGGAGCGAACAGGAUUAGAUACCCUGGUAGUCCACGCCGUAAACGAUGGAUACUAGCUGUUCGGAGUAAUCUGAGUGGCUAAGCGAAAGUGAUAAGUAUCCCACCUGGGGAGUACGUUCGCAAGAAUGAAACUCAAAUGAAUUGACGG
Molecule: ribosomal RNA, 403 nt
Filed under: Bacteroidetes bacterium enrichment culture clone LiUU-18-392
Lineage: Bacteria; Pseudomonadati; Bacteroidota
Description: bacterial SSU rRNA
Rfam family: Bacterial small subunit ribosomal RNA
Source: RNAcentral